The sequence is a regulatory RNA element, 84 nucleotides long. It matches the Rfam family "SucA RNA motif". The record is from Rfam.
UCGCAAUCCGCCAACCGGUCAAGCCGUGUCGCGGAAGGUUGUUCAACCAGCCACAGCCCUGGAAACCGGGGUGAAAGGUGAGCG